GAUAUUUAGCAUGGCCCCUGUGCAAGGAUGAAAUGCAGAUUCAUGAAGCAUUCCAUAUUUUU
This 62-nucleotide small nuclear RNA is filed under the name Canis lupus dingo (dingo). Lineage: Eukaryota; Metazoa; Chordata; Mammalia; Carnivora; Canidae. The record is from RNAcentral.